AUGGCGAAUUCCAUGGUGCCAACGCUGCUACAUCGCCUGGUUCUCGCGUUGCUCCUCCUGCUGCUGCCUCUCCUUAAUUCCGGGCAAGCCGAGGGCCGCGGCACUUCACCGAGAUCUCAAGCUGGGGCACUUCUCCACUGGAAAUCAUCCAUCAAGUACUCCUCCAAGCACCAGCUGGGAACCUGGGGAGACGACGGCAUGUACCCGUGCAACUGGACCGGCAUCACCUGCGGGGACACUCUGUCACGCAGAGGAACCAUGGUGAAGGUCAUCACAGGAAUUUCCCUUGAUGGCGCCGGCAUUGCAGGGCGACUGGACAAACUGGGAUUCCAGUCGCUCCCUUACCUUGUCAACCUCGAUCUCAGCAACAACUACCAUCUCUCCGGUGCCAUCCCUCCAGGCAUCGGCUCUCUUUCCAUGCUUUCCACCCUCAACUUCUCUGGUGAUCAGCUCACCGGGCACAUACCUGCAUCAUUCUGCAACCUUGGACAGCUCACAGGGAUGGACCUCUCCAGCAACAAUCUCACCGGACAAAUCCCUCCUGCUUUAGGUAAUCUCUCAAGACUUGCUUUUCUUUAUCUACGCGGGAAUAGGCUCUCAGGUAACAUCCCCUGGCACCUCGGACAGCUUCAGAACAUGAGAGAGAUGGAUUUGAGCCUUAAUGACAUUUCUGGCCAUGUACCUUCCGCCCUUGCAAACCUGACCAACCUUGACUAUCUGGACCUUUCUGAAAAUCGUCUGUCAGGACCCAUACCUAAAGAGCUAGGACACAUCCAAACCCUGCAAGUACUACACUUGGAGAAAAACAAUCUGAGCGGCACAAUUCCGCCCUCCCUUGGUAACCUGACAGUGCUCACAUACCUGACGGCAUAUCGGAACCAAUACACUGGCCCAAUACCGGCAGAGUUUGGGAUGCUCUCGAGCUUGAUUGGGUUGGACUUGUCAGAUAACCAUUUGACCGGCCCUGUUCCUUCUAGUGUUGCUGGAAAUCUUACUUCAGUGACCUAUUUUUCUCUUUUUGGUAACCACAUAACCGGAUCCAUCCCUCAUGAGUUUGGGAAUCUCGUGAAUCUGGAAACCCUUGCCCUCUCGGACAAUUUGAUAGUUGGAUCAGUGCCGUCAAGUAUUGGGAACAUGUCUUCACUCAAACAAUUAAUAAUACAUAACAAUAGUAUCUCAGGGGAACUGCCGACCGAGUUUGGAAAUUUGGUAAAUUUGGAGUAUCUUAUGUCCUAUGAAAACCAAUUGUCCGGCUCAAUCCCUCCAAGUUAUGGAAAAUUGGUCAAGAUGACACAAAUGCGACUGUUCAACAACCAGCUCUCCGGCCCUGUGCCUCCAGCACUGUCCAACCUUACCAAUUUAGUCGUCAUUGCACUGGAUGACAACCAGCUGAUCGGACACUUGCCAGAUUUGUGCCAAAGUAAAAAGCUACAGGUUUUACAAGUUCAUAACAACAAUUUAGAUGGUCCUGUCCCAAAAGGCUUGAGGGAUUGCAGUUCACUAACAUCGCUCAUGAUCGCCAAUAAUCAUAUUGAGGGAGACAUAACUGAAGCAUUUGGUGUGUAUCCACACCUCGAUACGAUCAAUUUAUCUUCAAAUAGAUUUGUUGGGAAGCUCUCGCCGAAUUGGGGCUCAUGUCAAAACUUGACAAGUAUUAAUUUUGCACACAACAUGAUAGAAGGCAGUAUACCUUCUGAGGUUGGGGUGCUAAAAAAUCUUGGAAAGCUUAAACUGAGUUUCAAUAGGUUGACCAGUGAGAUACCACCAGAAAUUGGCAAGUUAAGCAACCUCUAUUGGAUGGAUUUAAGAAACAAUGAACUAUCUGGCCAGAUCCCUAAGCAAAUCGGCCAACUUAGCAAUCUUGAGAUUCUUGAUUUCUCAAGCAACCUGUUGAGCGGUAAAGUGCCAGAAGAGAUGGGAAAUUGUUUGAAACUGCAGUCCUUACAUAUGAAUAACAACAGCCUUAGUGGAAGUCUUCCUGGUAGUUUGGGCCAUUUAGCUUCCCUGCAAAGAAUGCUUGAUCUUAGCAUGAAUAGUCUCAGUGGACCAAUACCGUCAGAACUCAGCAACCUAGAGAUGCUGAUGUAUGUAAACUUCUCACACAAUCAAUUCAGUGGUGCAAUCCCUGCCUCCAUUGCAAGCAUGCAAAGCCUAUCAAUAUUUGAUGUUGCAUAUAACCUCCUAGAAGGCACUGUCCCAAAUGGGAUCCAGAAUGCAUCAACUGAAUGGUUUCUCCACAACAAAGGUCUUUGCGGAGACCUUGUUGGACUGUCUCCUUGUGAUUUGCCCCCUGCAGAUCAUAGGCGAAAGCACCAAAAGAUUAUACUACCAGUCAGUCUUACUAUGUUUGUCGCUACUAUUUCAAUAACAGCAGGUGUGAUUGCCUUUAUGAUUUGCCGCAAGAAAGUACCUCAAAAUACUGAUGAUGUGAGCAAAAGGGAUGUAUUCUCUGUAUGGAGCUUUGAUGGCAGAAUAGCAUUUGAAGAUAUUAUCAAUGCAACUGACAAUUUCGAUAAGAAACAUUGCAUUGGAGAGGGAUCAUACGGCAGUGUUUAUAAAGCAGAACUUCAAGAUGAACAAGUGGUCGCAGUAAAGAAACUCCAUGCAGGCGAUGAAGAGGCACAUGAUGAAGAAAGAUUCCGGCAUGAGAUUCAAAUGUUAACAACAAUUCGCCAACGCAGCAUCGUCAAGCUAUAUGGAUAUUGUUCUCAUCCGCGGUUCCGGUUCCUUGUGUGCCAGUUUAUGGAGAGAGGAAAUCUAGCUUCAACCUUAAGAAAUGAACAACUAGCAAUCCAGUUCCACUGGCAAAGGAGGACAGCUUUAAUAAGAGAUCUGGCUCAAGCCAUCGCUUACCUCCAUCAUGAUGUUCACCCACCCAUAAUUCAUCGAGACAUCACAAGCAGAAACAUCUUACUAGAUACUGAUUUCAAAGCAUUUGUCUCAGACUUCGGUAUUGCAAGAAUGUUAAAACCUGAUUCGUCAAACUGGAGUGCACUAGCAGGGACCUAUGGCUACAUAGCACCUGAAUGUUCCUACACUUCCCUAGUUACAGAGAAAUGUGAUGUGUAUAGCUUUGGUGUUGUGGUGCUUGAGGUGUUGAUGGGCAAACACCCUGGAGAUUUGCAGGCUUUUCAUUCUUCACUCGAGGACCAGUUUCUACUGGAAGAAAUUUUGGACAAACGACUUCCACAACCCGAAGCUGGGGAGGAAGAAGUGAGACGGUGCAUCUCUGUGGCAUUUGAGUGCCUAACUCCUUCACCCAAGGAAAGGCCAAGUAUGCUGAAAGUUUAUCGAGAUCUUUCCAUCUGA
This 3309-nucleotide ribosomal RNA is filed under the name Triticum aestivum (bread wheat). RNAcentral describes it as "partial small subunit ribosomal RNA". The record is from RNAcentral. Lineage: Eukaryota; Viridiplantae; Streptophyta; Magnoliopsida; Poales; Poaceae.